GCACAAGCGGUGGAGUAUGUGGUUUAAUUCGAUGCAACGCGAAAAACCUUACCUGCCCUUGACAUCCUCGGAACUUGUCAGAGAUGACUUGGUGCCUUCGGGAACCGAGAGACAGGUGCUGCAUGGCUGUCGUCAGCUCGUGUCGUGAGAUGUUGGGUUAAGUCCCGCAACGAGCGCAACCCUUGUCAUUAGUUGCCAUCAUUUGGUUGGGCACUCUAAUGAGACUGCCGGUGACAAACCGGAGGAAGGUGGGGAUGACGUCAAGUCCUCAUGGCCCUUAUGGGUAGGGCUUCACACGUCAUACAAUGGUCGGUACAGAGGGUUGCCAACCCGCGAGGGGGAGCUAAUCCCACAAAGCCGAUCGUAGUCCGGAUCGCAGUCUGCAACUCGACUGCGUGAAGUCGGAAUCGCUCGUAAUCGUGGAUCAGCAUGUCACGGUGAAUACGUUCCCGGGUCUU
Molecule: ribosomal RNA, 458 nt
Filed under: uncultured Azovibrio sp.
Lineage: Bacteria; Pseudomonadati; Pseudomonadota; Betaproteobacteria; Rhodocyclales; Rhodocyclaceae
Description: bacterial SSU rRNA
Rfam family: Bacterial small subunit ribosomal RNA
Source: RNAcentral